RNAcentral lists this ribosomal RNA (497 nucleotides) under uncultured bacterium. Its description in RNAcentral is "partial 16S ribosomal RNA". It matches the Rfam family "Bacterial small subunit ribosomal RNA", at positions 28 to 507 of the family's 1533-position model. The record is from RNAcentral.
GAUGAACGCUGGCGGCGUGCCUAAUACAUGCAAGUCGAGCGAACAGACGAGGAUCUUGCUCCUCUGACGUUAGCGGCGGACGGGUGAGUAACAUGUGGAUAACCUACCUAUAAGACUGGGAUAACUUCGGGAAACCGGAGCUAAUACCGGAUAAUAUAUUGAACCGCAUGGUUCAAUAGUGAAAGACGGUUUUGCUGUCACUUAUAGAUGGAUCCGCGCCGCAUUAGCUAGUUGGUAAGGUAACGGCUUACCAAGGCAACGAUGCGUAGCCGACCUGAGAGGGUGAUCGGCCACACUGGAACUGAGACGCGGUCCAGACUCCUACGGGAGGCAGCAGUAGGGAAUCUUCCGCAAUGGGCGAAAGCCUGACGGAGCAACGCCGCGUGAGUGAUGAAGGUCUUCGGAUCGUAAAACUCUGUUAUUAGGGAAGAACAAAUGUGUAAGUAACUAUGCACGUCUUGACGGUACCUAAUCAGAAAGCAACGGCUAACUACGUG